UCAUCACUUCUCUCAUUUCUUCUCACUCUGCCAAAGGGCACACAUACAAUCCCCAUUUUACCAAAAUCUUGUUCAGCUUCAGUAGUUUUCUUCCUGUAUGGGGGUCGCCAUCUGAAGUACUGGAGACAUGAUUCUACUCUGCAGCAGGUUGUUUCUGCUCUGCUGGCUUCACCUGAACAGCAUGAACAUACGGGAACCCACCACCACCAGGAACAAGAUGUGGCUU
This 226-nucleotide unclassified non-coding RNA is filed under the name Hevea brasiliensis (rubber tree). The record is from RNAcentral. Lineage: Eukaryota; Viridiplantae; Streptophyta; Magnoliopsida; Malpighiales; Euphorbiaceae.